Molecule: non-coding RNA, 347 nt
Organism: Salmo salar (Atlantic salmon)
Lineage: Eukaryota; Metazoa; Chordata; Actinopteri; Salmoniformes; Salmonidae
Source: RefSeq, a predicted model, not a curated record
AUAGGGAAGGCUGUGUUGGAAGGUCUGGGCUCCCACUGGAGAGGAACUCCUCCUCCAGCAUUGACAGAGAAGGUGGGAGCGUUUCAGAGUGCUUAUUGUAGCUGUAGCACUCCUAAUCAAAAGUUCCUAGGGACCCACAUAGUGUGCAGGUUCUUGUUCCAGCCCAGCACUGAGUUAGCGAAUCAAGGGCUUAGCGAAAAGUUGAUUGAAUCAGGACUGGGGCAAAGGAUGCUGAUUGUAAAACCUAUAAGUUCCUGAAAGAAACCUGCAGAGAAAGGGAGAAGAGACAGGAUGUCACCUCCACAGCAAGCAGAGUUGCAAUUGGGUGAAAAGGAAAUAUUAAAGAA